RNAcentral lists this ribosomal RNA (915 nucleotides) under uncultured bacterium. RNAcentral's name for it is "bacterial SSU rRNA". It matches the Rfam family "Bacterial small subunit ribosomal RNA", at positions 246 to 1155 of the family's 1533-position model. The record is from RNAcentral.
UUGUUGGUAAGGUAAAAGCUUACCAAGGCUUCGAUCAGUAGCUGGUCUGAGAGGACGACCAGCCACACUGGGACUGAGACACGGCCCAGACUCCUACGGGAGGCAGCAGUGGGGAAUUUUGGACAAUGGGGGCAACCCUGAUCCAGCCAUGCCGCGUGAGUGAAGAAGGCCUUCGGGUUGUAAAGCUCUUUCAGCCGGAACGAAACGGUUACGGUUAACACCCGUGACUACUGACGGUACCGGAAGAAGAAGCACCGGCUAACUACGUGCCAGCAGCCGCGGUAAUACGUAGGGUGCGAGCGUUAAUCGGAAUUACUGGGCGUAAAGGGUGCGCAGGUGGUUUUGUAAGUCAGAUGUGAAAGCCCCGGGCUCAACCUGGGAACUGCGUUUGAAACUACAAGACUAGAGUGUGGCAGAGGGGGGUGGAAUUCCGCGUGUAGCAGUGAAAUGCGUAGAGAUGUGGAGGAACACCGAUGGCGAAGGCAGCCCCCUGGGUCAACACUGACGCUCAGGCACGAAAGCAUGGGGAGCAAACAGGAUUAGAUACCCUGGUAGUCCAUGCCCUAAACGAUGUCAACUAGUUGUCGGGCCUUUACGGGCUUGGUAACGUAGCUAACGCGUGAAGUUGACCGCCUGGGGAGUACGAUCGCAAGAUUAAAACUCAAAUGAAUUGACGGGGACCCGCACAAGCGGUGGAUUAUGUGGAUUAAUUCGAUGCAACGCGAAAAACCUUACCUACCCUUGACAUGUAUCGAAGCYCGCAGAAAAGCGGGGGUGCCCGAAAGGGAACGAUAACACAGGUGCUGCAUGGCUGUCGUCAGCUCGUGUCGUGAGAUGUUGGGUUAAGUCCCGCAACGAGCGCAACCCUUGUCAUUAAUUGCCAUCAUUAGUUGGGCACUUUAAUGAGACUGCCGG